AAAGUUUUUAAUGUUAUGUUAUCUGAUGUUGAGAAUUUGUCAGAGGUAAGGUUAUUUUGGAUUGUAAAUCUCUUUAUCUCAGUAUUCUAAUGUGUUCUGCAUUGAUUUAGGUGACAAACUAAUAAAAUUAUUUAUGCUUUAGCAAGAAUAUCUUUAUUACAUGCUAUUCUCACAUUUUAGGAAGAGUAACAAGAAUGGAUUUAUUACGUGCUAUUCACAUAUUUUAAUAACAUUGCUUUGCAUGUUAUUACCACCCAAUCUCUUCACCAGAUCACCCUUCGAGCCAAAUUUAAUAACAUUGCUUUGCAUGCUACCAUUAAAAUCUAGCAUUGUAGAAAAAAGGAAAAAAAAACAGAUACAAACUUAAUAGAAAAAAGUACAAAAGCAGAGGAUCACAUCUUCAAAAAAGAGUAGAAAGAAAAGCAGAAGAGCAAGAUCACGUUUGCAAGAAAGAAGCAACAAGAAAAAUAGCCAGAUCAUGUCUUCAAGAGGAAGCAAAAGAGUAAGUGAUAUUUGCAUAUCAUAUAGUUAUUUAGGUUAGGUUUUAUAGUUAUUUUGCCAUUUUCUUGAUUAGUUUUAGUAAUUUCAUUGUUAAUCUAAUUAGUUUUUUAUAUUUGUUAAUUUUAGUUUAACUUAUGAAUUUCUUCUUGAUUUAUACGUUAAAUGGUGUUUUUAAAAAAUUUAAGAGUUAAUUGUAUGUUUGAAGAUUAAAUUCAAAGCCAAAAGAUGCCAAAAAUGAAAUGUAAAAAUUGCUAAAAUUAAUUGCUGUCAAAAGUUGCACAAGGACCUGCACAGCUUGUGU
Molecule: unclassified non-coding RNA, 802 nt
Filed under: Hevea brasiliensis (rubber tree)
Lineage: Eukaryota; Viridiplantae; Streptophyta; Magnoliopsida; Malpighiales; Euphorbiaceae
Source: RNAcentral